AUGGGAGUUCAACUGCGCAAGCUCUCUCGCCUGCAGCCACGUGAGACACAACUUUGCUCCUCUUUCGCUUUCCGUCAUGAUUGUGAGGCCUCCCCCACCAUGUGGAACUUUGAGGCCUUGAAAAUCUCUCUGGAUUCCUUGAAGAUUAGCAGAACAUCUGUCAGGAAGACUGAAUAUGUUGAGCGUGUAUGUGUGUGUAUCUUUAAAAUAUUUUUAAAAUUUUAUUUUCAAUUGACAAAUGUUGUUUAUGGGGGUACAAUAUGAUGUUUUGAUCUAUGAAUACAUUAUAGAAAGAUUCAAUCAAGUUAAUUAACAU
Molecule: long non-coding RNA, 316 nt
Filed under: Papio anubis (olive baboon)
Lineage: Eukaryota; Metazoa; Chordata; Mammalia; Primates; Cercopithecidae
Description: lncRNA (ENSPANG00000048462.1)
Source: RNAcentral